Molecule: ribosomal RNA, 406 nt
Filed under: uncultured bacterium
Lineage: Bacteria
Also listed under: 2 other names
Description: bacterial SSU rRNA
Rfam family: Bacterial small subunit ribosomal RNA
Source: RNAcentral
UGGGGAAUAUUGCACAAUGGGCGAAAGCCUGAUGCAGCAACGCCGCGUGAAGGAUGAAGGCCUUUGGGUCGUAAACUUCUGUCCUUGGGGAAGAAAAAAAUGACGGUACCCCUGGAGGAAGUCCCGGCUAACUACGUGCCAGCAGCCGCGGUAAUACGUAGGGGGCGAGCGUUAUCCGGAAUUAUUGGGCGUAAAGAGUACGUAGGUGGUUUUUUAAGCGCAGGGUUUAAGGCGAUGGCUCAACUGUCGUUCGCCCUGUGAACUGGAAGACUUGAGUACAGGAGAGGAAAGCGGAAUUCCUAGUGUAGCGGUGAAAUGCAUAGAUAUUAGGAGGAACACCAGUGGCGAAGGCGGCUUUCUGGACUGUAACUGACACUGAGGUACGAAAGCGUGGGGAGCAAACAGG